CCUACGGGUGGCAGCAGUGGGGAAUAUUGGACAAUGGGGGGAACCCUGAUCCAGCGACGCCGCGUGAUUGAAGAAGUAUUUCGGUAUGUAAAGCUCUAUCAGCAGGGAAGAAAGAAAUGACGGUACCUGACUAAGAAGCCCCGGCUAACCACGUGCCAGCAGCCGCGGUAAUACGGAGGGGGCAAGCGUUAUACGGAUUUUCGGGGUGGAAAGGGAGCGUAGACGGCGAUGCAAGUCUGAAGUGAAAGGCGGGGGCCUAACCCCCGGAGUGCUUUUGAAACUGUAUGGCUGGAGUGCAGGAGAGGUAAGUGGAAUUCCUAGUGUAGCGGUGAAAUGCGUAGAUAUUAGGAGGAACACCAGUGGCGAAGGCGGCUUACUGGACUGUAACUGACGUUGAGGCUCGAAAGCGUGGGGAGCAAACAGGAUUAGAUACCCUAGUAGUC
This 443-nucleotide ribosomal RNA is filed under the name uncultured bacterium. Its description in RNAcentral is "partial 16S ribosomal RNA". It matches the Rfam family "Bacterial small subunit ribosomal RNA", at positions 338 to 795 of the family's 1533-position model. The record is from RNAcentral.